Molecule: ribosomal RNA, 465 nt
Filed under: uncultured Streptococcus sp.
Lineage: Bacteria; Bacillati; Bacillota; Bacilli; Lactobacillales; Streptococcaceae
Description: bacterial SSU rRNA
Rfam family: Bacterial small subunit ribosomal RNA
Source: RNAcentral
CCUACGGGAGGCAGCAGUAGGGAAUCUUCGGCAAUGGACGAAAGUCUGACCGAGCAACGCCGCGUGAGUGAAGAAGGUUUUCGGAUCGUAAAGCUCUGUUGUAAGAGAAGAACGAGUGUGAGAGUGGAAAGUUCACACUGUGACGGUAUCUUACCAGAAAGGGACGGCUAACUACGUGCCAGCAGCCGCGGUAAUACGUAGGUCCCGAGCGUUGUCCGGAUUUAUUGGGCGUAAAGCGAGCGCAGGCGGUUAGAUAAGUCUGAAGUUAAAGGCUGUGGCUUAACCAUAGUACGCUUUGGAAACUGUUUAACUUGAGUGCAAGAGGGGAGAGUGGAAUUCCAUGUGUAGCGGUGAAAUGCGUAGAUAUAUGGAGGAACACCGGUGGCGAAAGCGGCUCUCUGGCUUGUAACUGACGCUGAGGCUCGAAAGCGUGGGGAGCAAACAGGAUUAGAUACCCCAGUAGUC